AGCGAACGCUGGCGGCAGGCCUAACACAUGCAAGUCGAACGAACUCUUCGGAGUUAGUGGCGGACGGGUGAGUAACACGUGGGAACGUGCCUUUUGGUUCGGAAUAACUCAGGGAAACUUGUGCUAAUACCGAAUGUGCCCUUCGGGGGAAAGAUUUAUCGCCCUUAGAGCGGCCCGCGUCUGAUUAGCUUGUUGGUUAGGUAACGGCUCACCAAGGCGACGAUCAGUAGCUGGUCUGAGAGGAUGACCAGCCACACUGGGACUGAGACACGGCACAGACUCCUACGGGAGGCAGCAGUGGGGAAUCUUGCGCAAGGGGCGAAAGCCUGACGCAGCCAUGCCGCGUGAAUGAUGAAGGUCUUAGGAUUGUAAAAUUCUUUCACCGGGGACGAUAAUGACGGUACCCGGAGAAGAAGCCCCGGCUAACUUCGUG
RNAcentral lists this ribosomal RNA (433 nucleotides) under uncultured bacterium. RNAcentral's name for it is "partial 16S ribosomal RNA". It matches the Rfam family "Bacterial small subunit ribosomal RNA", at positions 29 to 507 of the family's 1533-position model. The record is from RNAcentral.